UACGCAGGGUAGCAGGUGCUGCCCGGAAUUAUUGGUUGUAAAGAGCUCGGAUGCGGAUUGCCGCGACUGCUGUGAAAAACCCAGAUUCAGACUCCGACCUGCUUUGUGGACUGCGCUUGUUCACUGGGGGACGGUACAUUGGAAUUCCUGCUGUAGCGCUGGAAUGCGCAGAUAUCAGGAGGAACCCCGAUGGCGAAGGCAGAUCUCCGGGCUGUAACUGACGCUGAGGAGCGAAAGCGCGGGGAGCGAACACGAUUAGAUACCCCGGUAGUGCACACCGUAAACGGUGGGAACUAGAUGUGGGGUACCUUCCCCGGACUCCGUGUGGCAGCUAACGCACUAAGUUCGCCUCCUGGGGAGUGCGGCCGCAAGGCUAAAUCUCAAAGGAAUUGACGGGGGCACGCACAAGCGGCGGAGCAUGCGGACUAUAUUAGAUGCAACGCGAAGAACCUUACCAAGGCGGGACAUAUAGAGGAAAAGUGCAGAAAUGCACUCCGCGCAAGGUCUCCAUACAGGUGGUGCAUGGUGGUAGUCAGCUAGUGUCCUGUGAUAAUGGCACAAGUUCCACAUCGACCUCAACCCUAGUCUUAUUAGCCAGCUCUUUAAGGUGGGAACUCAUGGGAUACUGCCGGGGUCAACUCGGAGGAAGGUCGGGAGGACGUCAAAUC
This 668-nucleotide ribosomal RNA is filed under the name uncultured bacterium. Its description in RNAcentral is "SSU rRNA". It matches the Rfam family "Bacterial small subunit ribosomal RNA", at positions 524 to 1191 of the family's 1533-position model. The record is from RNAcentral.